ACUCAAUGAUUGAUCAGGAGAGAUACUUCGAAUUACAUUUCAUGCCCAGAUAUGUUGGGCCCAAUGCGUCUUUGCUCCAACCAUCACAAACUGACAAACGGAUGGUGACCGUGAUACUGAUAGUAACAGCUGAGUAAGGCUACAUGUACCCCGAUCAUCACUGAAAGGCAACCGGGAUGCAGUCUUUAAAUCUGGAGUUCUGGGCAGAACUGUGCAUUUCUGGAACAAUGAUGAGUUUAAGUGAAAUGGUAAUUUGUCAUGAAUUUCUACAUGUACCCUGACCAUCUUUGAAAGGCAACUGGGAUACAGUGCAGUCUUUAUCUGGAAUUCUUGGCAGAACUGGACAUUCCUGGAACAAUGAUCAAUUCAAGUGAAACAGACUCGGGUGCAAGCAGACAUUCUUGUAAUUACAGAAUGUAUUCCUUAAGAGAGGCAACAUGUGACCUGAAAACAAUUCUAUUCAGAUCUAUUUAAGGAAUGAAUUCAAUAUCUAAUUCAUCCAAGUAUAUACUGGGUUUGGGCAGUUUGCGCUUUUUUAAACUGCUAAGUGGUUUAUGAAAAAGCACAUUUUUGAACUUGCAAAAGAAAUCAGACCAACUGCUGAUAUACGUGGUUUUCAGUGAGUUAAUCAACGAUUAUCUAUGAAAAGUUAGCUACACUGAACAGUUUCUUUUUUACAUGAGUAUAUAUACCUGAAACCCAUUGCACAUCAUAAGAAUUUUAUUUUAUUUUGGACAGUGCUCUUGUUGUAAAGUGUUAUGUGUAAUGCAUGCGAGUUGUGGACGGGGUUUGUAGUCAUCUGAGAACAAGGAUUGGCACGUUGGGUGGACUUGGAGAAAUCUUUAUAUGCUAAACCCAGUUUUAGAAGAAACGAAGAAAGCAAACACCAGAUCAGUUCCAACUAAUAGAGCUGUCAAUCAGGAUAAGCAAUAAAACAUGUUGACCAAAUUGGCACUCGGCUGUAAUAAAACAUUGUAUGUAGGGAACAUGUACUAGAAGGAAAGAGCGUUUAUGUAUACAUUUAGUUUUUAUGUAAUAUUCAUUAAUUAUUAUUAUAUGAUUGAUAUUAAAUAUGUAAGGCCACACCAAUUUGUAAAAUAGUUCUUCGGAUUUUCAAACAAAAAAAGUGAGGCGAGAGGGCGAAAUUAUUUCACAAAUAUUAUUUUUAAUUUUGGAGAUAAAAAUUAUGAGGCGAGCGAAUACAAGAAAUAUAAAUAUUUUUAAUUGAAUUAAGUGUGAUUUUAAAAAGCGGGCGCCUAAAAAUAAAGAUCUAAAAUCAUCAGAUAUCAUUUGUUUACCACAUAAACUUAAUAUUUUUCAACUUUGUUGAUAUAGUUUACAAUAAAUAAGAAGUAUUUCAGGUU
Ostrea edulis (European flat oyster) is the source of this 1364-nucleotide long non-coding RNA. RefSeq lists it as uncharacterized. Lineage: Eukaryota; Metazoa; Mollusca; Bivalvia; Ostreida; Ostreidae. The transcript is spliced from 2 exons. The record is from RefSeq and is a predicted model, not a curated record.